This 1346-nucleotide ribosomal RNA is filed under the name metagenome. Its description in RNAcentral is "bacterial LSU rRNA". It matches the Rfam family "Bacterial large subunit ribosomal RNA", at positions 1592 to 2925 of the family's 2925-position model. The record is from RNAcentral.
AGAUUGAGCCAUGCCGCCUAGAAAAGCUUCUAAGCGUUGAUAUUUGAGUGACCGUACCGCAAACCGACACUGGUAGGUGGGUAGAAUAUACCAAGGGGAGCGAGAGAACCCUCGUUAAGGAAUUAGGCAAAUUUCCCCCGUACGUUCGCAAUAAGGGGGGCCUCUGGUGGUGAGCUUAAUCGCAAAGCUGCUGGAGGCCGCAGAGAAAUGGCUCUUCCAACUGUUUAACAAAAACACAGGUCUCUGCUAAGUCGAAAGACGAAGUAUAGGGGCUGACGCCUGCCCAGUGCCGGAAGGUUAAGGGGAGAGGUUAGGCGCAAGCCGAAGCUUUGAGCCGAAGCCCCAGUGAACGGCGGCCGUAACAAUAACGGUCCUAAGGUAGCGAAAUUCCUUGUCGGGUAAGAUCCGACCCGCACGAAUGGCGUAAUGAGAGGAGCACUGUCUCAACGAGGGACUCGGCGAACAUUGAAGGACGUGUGAAGAUACACGUGACCCGCAGCGGGACAAAAAGACCCCGUGAAGCUUUACUACAACUUGCCAUUGAGUUAGGGCUAAACCUGUGUAGUAUAGGUGGGAGGCUUUGAAGCUGGGACGCCAGUCUCGGUGGAGCCACCGUUGAAAUACCACCCUGGUUUAUUCUUGGCUCUAACCUGUCGCCGUUAUCCGGCAUGGGAACAGUGGCUGGUGGGUAGUUUGACUGGGGCGGUCGCCUCCGAAAGCGUAACAGAGGCGCCCAAAGGUUCCCUCAGGCUGAAUGGAAACCAGCCGUUGAGUGUAAAGGCACAAGGGAGCUUGACUGCAAGACCAACAAGUCGCGCAGGGACGAAAGUCGGGCUUAGUGAUCCCACGGUUCAGAGUGGAAUGGCCGUGGCUUACCGGAUAAAAGCUACUCCGGGGAUAACAGGGUAGUCUGGUCCAAGAGUUCAUAUCGACGACCAGGUUCGCCACCUCGAUGUCGGCUCAUCACAUCCUGGGGCUGGAUAAGGUCCCAAGGGUUGGGCUGUUCGCCCAUUAAAGUGGUACGUGAGCUGGGUUCAGACCGUCGUGAGACAGGUCGGUCUCUAUCCGCUGUGGGCGUAAGGGAUUUGGGAGAAGCUGCCCCUAGUACGAGAGGACCGGGGUGGACGGACCUCUAGUGUGCCAGUUGUUCUGCCAAGAGCAUUGCUGGGUAGCUACGUCCGGCAGAGAUAACCGCUGAAAGCAUCUAAGUGGGAAACUCGUCUCAAGAUUAGAUCUCUCAUCCGUAUGGAGUAAGACCGCUAGAAGAUUACUAGUUUGAUAGGCGGCAGGUGUAAGCGCAGUAAUGUGUUCAGCUUAGCCGUACUAAUGGUCGAGGGCUUACGUUU